This 496-nucleotide ribosomal RNA is filed under the name uncultured bacterium. Its description in RNAcentral is "partial 16S ribosomal RNA". It matches the Rfam family "Bacterial small subunit ribosomal RNA", at positions 29 to 507 of the family's 1533-position model. The record is from RNAcentral.
AUGAACGCUGGCGGCGUGCCUAAUACAUGCCAGUCGAGCGAACGGACGCGAAGCUUGCUUCUCUGAUGUUAGCGGCGGACGGGUGAGUAACACGUGGAUAACCUACCUAUAAGACUGGGAUAACUUCGGGAAACCGGAGCUAAUACCGGAUAAUAUUUUGAACCGCAUGGUUCAAAAGUGAAAGACGGUCUUGCUGUCACUUAUAGAUGGAUCCGCGCUGCAUUAGCUAGUUGGUAAGGUAACGGCUUACCCAGGCAACGAUGCAUAGCCGACCUGAGAGGGUGAUCGGCCAGACUGGAACUGAGACACGUCACAGACUCCUACGGGAAGAAGCAGUAGGGAAUCUUCCGCAAUGGACGAAAGCCUGACGGAGCAACGCCGCGUGAGUGAUGAAGGUCUUCGGAUCGUAAAACGCUGUUAUUAGGGAAGAACAUAUGUGUAAGUAACUGUGCACAUCUUGACGGUACCUAAUCAGAAAGCCACGGCUAACUACGUG